UGGGGAAUAUUGGACAAUGGGCGCAAGCCUGAUCCAGCCAUGCCGCGUGAGUGAAGAAGGCCCUCGGGUUGUAAAGCUCUUUUGUCCGGAAAGAAAAGCUUUCGGCUAAUACCCGGAAGUCCUGACGGUACCGGAAGAAUAAGCACCGGCUAACUUCGUGCCAGCAGCCGCGGUAAUACGAAGGGUGCAAGCGUUACUCGGAAUUACUGGGCGUAAAGCGUGCGUAGGUGGUUCGUUAAGUCUGAUGUGAAAGCCCUGGGCUCAACCUGGGAAUUGCAUUGGAUACUGGCGAGCUAGAGUGCGGUAGAGGAUGGCGGAAUUCCCGGUGUAGCAGUGAAAUGCGUAGAGAUCGGGAGGAACAUCCGUGGCGAAGGCGGCCAUCUGGACCAGCACUGACACUGAGGCACGAAAGCGUGGGGAGCAAACAGG
RNAcentral lists this ribosomal RNA (429 nucleotides) under uncultured bacterium. RNAcentral's name for it is "bacterial SSU rRNA". It matches the Rfam family "Bacterial small subunit ribosomal RNA", at positions 355 to 776 of the family's 1533-position model. The record is from RNAcentral.